AAACCAACAGGGAUUGCCUUAGUAACGGCGAGUGAAGCGGCAAAAGCUCAAAUUUGAAAGCUAGCACCUUCGGUGUUCGCGUUGUAAUUUGAAGAUAGUUUCCUUGAGUAGUCCUUUAUCUAUGUUCCUUGGAACAGGACGUCAUAGAGGGUGAGAACCCCGUAUGAUUUUGGAUACUACUCUUUGUGGGAUUCUAUCGAAGAGUCGAGUUGUUUGGGAAUGCAGCUCUAAGUGGGUGGUAAAUUCCAUCUAAAGCUAAAUAUUGGCGAGAGACCGAUAGCGAACAAGUACAGUGAUGGAAAGAUGAAAAGAACUCUGAAGAGAGAGUGAAAAAGUACGUGAAAUUGCUGAAAGGGAAGGGCUUGAGGCCAGACUUGGUGUUUAAUGAUUAUCAGUUCUUCUUGGACUGUGCACUCGUUUUUCACCGGGCCAAUAUCAGUUUUAGCGGUAGAGUACCCCUUGAAAUGUGGCUUCCUUCGGGGAGUGUUAUAGUCUUGGGGAGAUCUACUUGCUGGGACUGAGGACUGCGCUUCGGCAAGGAUAUUGGCGUAAUGACCUUAAGCCGC
This 566-nucleotide ribosomal RNA is filed under the name Saccharomycopsis fibuligera. Its description in RNAcentral is "partial large subunit ribosomal RNA". It matches the Rfam family "Eukaryotic large subunit ribosomal RNA", at positions 62 to 648 of the family's 3401-position model. Lineage: Eukaryota; Fungi; Ascomycota; Saccharomycetes; Ascoideales; Saccharomycopsidaceae. The record is from RNAcentral.